Molecule: long non-coding RNA, 1193 nt
Filed under: Bos mutus (wild yak)
Lineage: Eukaryota; Metazoa; Chordata; Mammalia; Artiodactyla; Bovidae
Description: lncRNA (ENSBMUG00000006560.1)
Source: RNAcentral
AUUGGAAAAGACUCUGAUGCUGGGAGGGAUUGGGGGCAGGAGGAGAAGGGGACAACAGAGGAUGAGAUGGCUGGAUGGCAUCACCGACUUGGUGGACAAUGUUUGGGUGAACUCCAGGAGUUGGUGAUGGACAGGGAGGCCUGGAAUGCUGCGAUUCAUGGGGUUGCAAAGAGUCGGACACGACUGAGUGACUGAACCCAACUGAAAUAGAUAGAUAGUACCUCCCUCCUCCAAUUGAAUUCAUUUGUUCAGCAAAUAUUUAUUGCCCUGAUGAGUGUCAGGCUUUGUGCUAUGUGCUGGGGUACAGAGCUGAGGCUAAUAGAGAGGGUCUCUGCUCUAGUGGAGUUUUUAGUUCAGCUGGCCGUAGACAUGAGUGAAGUCAUCACAGUCUGCGUGUACUGUCACAAAGAAGCUGUGUCUAGAGCAGCUGUGCUCUAGGGAGCCUAGAAGAGACACUACUGCUCUGAGGGAGCCUCCUUGCAGAUUCUGUGGUGCAAGAGGAACCAGGUGAGGCAAAGGAGAUGAAAGGAGGCCAGCGAGUCUGGAGGACAAGAGUGGAGUGGGAGGGGGUGGAGGAAGGGAGCCGACUUUGAGGAGAAACAUGGAGAAUUUGUGUUUAGUUAAGUUGAAGUUGUUUAUGAGAUAUCCAUGGGGAGAGAGAGACCAGCUAAGCAGUAGGAUGUGCUCUUUUCAUGUGGAGUGGACAUCAUCUGGGAGAUGAAAAAUUACUGGAGAGCUCAUGUAAUUCCAGAGAGUCAGCCCUCGUCCUUCUGGCUGCAGGAGUUUGUUCAUCUCUGGUCUGCAGUGACACCGUGGUUACCCAGCAACGCCCUUCCCUUCUCCUGGGUACCUAACUUGUGCUUCCUCGGGAUGUCUGCUGUUGUUUCUCUCUUGUGUCUUCUGGAGUCUGCCAACUGCCAUCCGCCUGAAGAAGAAGAGCUGACUGGCCCAUGUGGCCACAGGGGAUUCCGGAGCCAGUGGUCUCCGUACUGGGUCUGCUCGGACUAGGCCUCUUCUGGUGGUGGACGCCCGAGGCCAAUGGCCUUCCCUGUUCCUGCCACGUCCUGCCUGCCGAGAGAAGGGGUCACGGGACAGGAGGUGAGCUGCCUCAUUCCACCAGAGGCCCUGCACUUAAAAAAGCUGGGCUGGACAUGUAAAAUAAAAGCCUGAGGAUGUGGUUUGGGUUGUCCCUG